UAUUGUAUAGAAGAACGAACUCGGUCGACCAUACUGCUCCAAGUCCACAUGUACUUGAUGUAGAAAUAAGAAGAGGCCUUGGAGAUGGUUUCUUUCCCGAAUUAAUCGAAGAUGCUUUUCUCUGCGACGAAGUAGACAGUGCGUAAGUUUGUGGAGGAUUUUGAAAAAUAUUUUGACGUUAAAACGGCAAUCUUCGUUGCUGGAACAUGUAGUUUAAUGCACCAUUUCAAAAUCAACGUAAUUCAAAAUCAACAAAAUCUACCAAUUUUCUAUAUACUUGUGACAUUGUUUUGCAUCUUCAUUCAUUUAUUAUGCGACUCAGAAUUCUUAUUUUUGAUUUUUUUGUUCCUCGCCUCGAAUUUCAAUACUGUUUCAAUGCGAUUAUCUUUUACCUUUAGUGGUCUAUAGCUGAGUUUACAUUAGCCUGUGCAAAUAGAUCUGAACUGAGUCAAUUCAAUAAAUCAAAGAGAAUUCUCAAAUCAA
Long non-coding RNA from Xenia sp. Carnegie-2017, 483 nucleotides. RefSeq lists it as uncharacterized. The transcript is spliced from 2 exons. The record is from RefSeq and is a predicted model, not a curated record. NCBI's taxonomy places the organism in Eukaryota, Metazoa, Cnidaria, Anthozoa, Malacalcyonacea, Xeniidae.